RNAcentral lists this long non-coding RNA (341 nucleotides) under Homo sapiens (human). RNAcentral describes it as "non-protein coding lnc-HEY1-3:2". The record is from RNAcentral. Lineage: Eukaryota; Metazoa; Chordata; Mammalia; Primates; Hominidae.
AUGGCUGACCUUGAGGAGUUGUGGGUUUCUUCACCAGCUCCCAGAACUUCCCUUUUCUUCCUCAUCUUCAAACACCUUUUAGCAUCUUUCCCACGCAACCAGUGAGUUUGGGCUGGCCAGUUCUGAGCAGGAACAAGGGCCAAAUGGUAGACCUGCUGGAGAAAGUGGAGAUGCAGAUCAGAGAUGCAGCAUUUUCAUUAACCAAAUUUCUUGAGGUCACAUCUGCAGUACCAGCUCAAGUGGAAUAGCUUGUCUUCCAAUGUACAGAAAAUGCAUGUUUCCUUAAAACCUGGCAGGACCUCUUGAAACAAGGCUAUGAUUCUUUGAAACCUGAUGACUGA